RNAcentral lists this ribosomal RNA (325 nucleotides) under uncultured bacterium. RNAcentral describes it as "bacterial SSU rRNA". It matches the Rfam family "Bacterial small subunit ribosomal RNA", at positions 28 to 334 of the family's 1533-position model. The record is from RNAcentral.
GAUGAACGCUGGCGGCGUGCUUAACACAUGCAAGUCGAACGGGGGACCCCUGAAGGAGUUUUCGGACAACGGAAGGGAAUCCCUAGUGGCGGACGGGUGAGUAACGCGUGAGUAACCUGCCUUGGAGUGGGGAAUAACAGCUGGAAACAGCUGCUAAUACCGCAUAAAACGUCUGUGUCGCAUGGCACUGGACGUCAAAGAUUUAUCGCUCUGAGAUGGACUCGCGUCUGAUUAGCUAGUUGGUGGGGCAACGGCCCACCAAGGCGACGAUCAGUAGCCGGACUGAGAGGUUGGCCGGCCACAUUGGGACUGAGACACGGCCCAG